CCCCAACGAAACUGAAAGUAAUGGGCACAGCCCGAGCUGACUUUCUGUCGAGAAGGGAAACCUACAGGACCGUUAUGGUUUUGGGUUGUUGCAGUGCUGUUUCUUGAGUCCCUCCUCCUCUCCCCACUUCCCUUUUCUCUCCACUCAUUUGACAGGAGCCUCCGCAAUCAUCUGCUUAGAACACGUCAUCAUCAUCCACUGGGAGAGAGUUGUGGCACCACCUUUCUCCCCCUAUGGCUGAAGCCCACAGAAGAAAGAUGAGGAGUUGUGCUUCUGCGCUGGAGCCGCGCGACUGCCCGGAACUGUAACCUGCAAGAUGAUGCCCAAGUGCAGCUUCCCCCUUUUUGUGCCGCAUAUAACUGUAUGCUGCCCUUUUUGAAGCUGAUGCUUUCUCCUUUAGAGCCAUGCCCUCCACAUUGCCCAGAUGAUGUGCUAAGUCCCUUCCACUUGCAGAGAUUCAGUGCAUUAAGUGUAAAAACCACACAUCUCUGUUUUUUCUUUUAGUAAGGGAGUGAAGACCCAGAGGUGGAUGGUUUCAUUUGGAUUAGUCAUGCUGUUUAUCGGGUCCCUGUCCUCUGACAUGGAAAUUCCCAUCUCCCAUCGGGGUAUAGCUGUCGGCAUAAAUUAUAGGCUCUGGUUCAAAACAGGGCCCUCUCUUUUGUCCAGUAGCACCAGAAACACAUUAAUUAGGGACCUUGCUGGAACAGAAGGCUUCUCAAGGCUCCUGGAAAAGGAAGGUUGGGCCCCCAAGUCCUGUAUGUGAUCACUUGGGCUCUAGCCUUCACAAUCUGGAUCCAACCAGAUGAGCACUGAGAGCUCAGUGUUUGGAGCACAAAGAAGAACAAAGAAUAUAUAGUAACUUAGUGAAUCAGGGACAGGAUCCAAGAGGAAGCCUGACAUUUGUUUAUCAGCAGAGAAACAGAAGUAAAGGAGGGAAUGUCUCCCUAAGUGCUACUGUGUUAAUAAAAGUGUCCUCUAGAGAGAGGCUACAUGAACAGGGCAGCUGAUAACAUUAAUACUGUGCAGGUAGGCACACAUCUUCCCCCAUGGCCAGGACUGCUGAACCAAGUGGCCCUAAACUAAUGGGCAGGGAUACAGCUCUAAGCCUUUCCUGCGGCAAUCCUCAGAGGGAGUUGGCUCAGACAAAGCAAAGCAGCUUCUCCCUCGGUUCUUUGUUCUUCCUUGGAAAAUGGGCUCUCUCUCAAGUCUCAUACCCCAGCUGCUUUCCCCUCUUGUACAAGGGCAAAAUAAAGUAAUCGCCAAUAA
Molecule: long non-coding RNA, 1266 nt
Organism: Prionailurus viverrinus (fishing cat)
Lineage: Eukaryota; Metazoa; Chordata; Mammalia; Carnivora; Felidae
Exons: 2
Source: RefSeq, a predicted model, not a curated record